CGUCAAAUCAGCACGGCCCUUACGUCCGGGGCGACACACGUGUUACAAUGGGGGGUACAGAGGGUAGCUACCACGCGAGUGGAUGCCAAUCCCGAAAUCCUCUCUCAGUUCGGAUCGAAGUCUGCAACUCGACUUCGUGAAGCUGGAUUCGCUAGUAAUCGCGCAUCAGCCAUGGCGCGGUGAAUACGUUCCCGGGCCUU
This 200-nucleotide ribosomal RNA is filed under the name uncultured prokaryote. Its description in RNAcentral is "partial 16S ribosomal RNA". It matches the Rfam family "Bacterial small subunit ribosomal RNA", at positions 1183 to 1382 of the family's 1533-position model. The record is from RNAcentral.